GCAAUGCUUCGGUUGCCAAACCAAGGACUGCAAUCACGCCCAAAGAAACUCAAACUUCAUUGCCAAACAGUUCGAUUCCAGACGAAGCCGACGCUUCGGCUGCCGUACUAAGCUCAGGAAUACCUGAAGAAAGUAACUAAUCUCGUGGCAAAGAUGUUUAUUUGCACAAUGAUGGCAAUUUAAUGAUUUGGAAUAAUGAACAGGUAAUAACUAUUUAGUAGAGUAGUUAGUUAUUU
Parasteatoda tepidariorum (common house spider) is the source of this 236-nucleotide non-coding RNA. The record is from RefSeq and is a predicted model, not a curated record. Lineage: Eukaryota; Metazoa; Arthropoda; Arachnida; Araneae; Theridiidae.